ACACGACUGUCAUAAAUGCAAAUUUAUUAGAGCAAGCUGUGUGUGUAGGCCUAAAAUUCUAGUUUGGAUUUCCAACUAAUGCAAAUAUUUUCUACAUGUAAAACUUAGUGUUCCUAGGACAAGGUUUAACAAAAUGGCUCAUUUUAUGUGGCCAACAAUUUACAAGGGGGAUGUGCAGCCAGUGCACUGAUCCAUCAGCCAUACUUCAUCCCCAACAACUGUUAGAUACUGGUAUGUAUUUAAUCUCUGGACAUUUUUAUAAACUAGUACUGUGAUGUUCUAAACAAAGACUUGCUCUGUAGCUUCAUGACUGAAACACUUAAAACACAGUCAUCUUUUAGUUUCAUAACUGAAAUUCUAAAAUGCAGUCAUCUCUGUUAGUUUCAUGCCUGAAUCUCUAAAACUCAGCAUGUCCCAUAACGCAACAGGUUUGUGCCAUUUCAGCUGGAAAAUAUAAUCAUACAACGCUUAAUGGGUAAUUUUUAACAUACAUUUAUUUAGUUGCGCUAAAAGUUGGGCAAACAUGGCCU
Molecule: non-coding RNA, 530 nt
Organism: Biomphalaria pfeifferi
Lineage: Eukaryota; Metazoa; Mollusca; Gastropoda; Planorbidae
Source: the annotation of a GenBank genome assembly